GCAGAUGACUAAGUGAUAUAAAUUUACUUUAUGGAACCAAAGCUAGUUCUUUUAUGGAAUGCCGUACGUCACAAAUUACGUCAUCAUGCGACUUAGAAAGCAGAAAGAAAGAAAGAGCAGAAUGUUUUCAACUCCAUAUUUUCUGCAUAAUUUGCUGGUUAUAAGCAGAUCUCUGCACGGCACUCCCUUAUACCACACUGAUAGCUUCUCAAAGAUUAUAAAUAUGAUACAUGUAAGCAGGCACAGUUACUUGUCAUCACAAGGAUCAGAUUUCAAGUACCAGAGUAGUCCUAACUCCUAAAUUUUCCCAAUUUGUCAAAAGUACAUCUAGUGACACAAGAGAAGAAUGUGGAGUAAAUGCCAAUAAAGGCUAGACUGCAGGGGUAUACCUGACUUCUCGGCAAUUUCUGGUUAUCACCAUCCGAAUGACCGAUUCAGAGGAGAAGAAUAACUUCAAGGUGACUCUUAUGCAUUGAGAUCUUUCGCUGAUGGACUCAAAUUGUUCAGGAAAAAAUCCA
Molecule: long non-coding RNA, 518 nt
Organism: Saccostrea cuccullata (small rock oyster)
Lineage: Eukaryota; Metazoa; Mollusca; Bivalvia; Ostreida; Ostreidae
Exons: 5
Source: RefSeq, a predicted model, not a curated record